This 426-nucleotide ribosomal RNA is filed under the name uncultured bacterium. RNAcentral's name for it is "bacterial SSU rRNA". It matches the Rfam family "Bacterial small subunit ribosomal RNA", at positions 917 to 1344 of the family's 1533-position model. The record is from RNAcentral.
GGGCCCGCACAAGCGGUGGAGUAUGUGGUUUAAUUCGAUGCAACGCGAAGAACCUUACCAGGGUUUGACAUCCUGCGAAUCUCUUGGAAACAGGAGAGUGCCUUCGGGAACGCAGUGACAGGUGGUGCAUGGCUGUCGUCAGCUCGUGUCGUGAGAUGUUGGGUUAAGUCCCGCAACGAGCGCAACCCACGUCUUUAGUUGCCAGCAUUUAGUUGGGCACUCUAGAGAGACUGCCGGUGAUAAACCGGAGGAAGGUGUGGAUGACGUCAAGUCAUCAUGCCCCUUACAUCCUGGGCUACACACGUACUACAAUGCUACGGACAAAGGGCUGCAAGUUCGCGAGGACAAGCAAAUCCCAUAAACCCCAUCUCAGUUCGGAUCGGAGUCUGCAACUCGACUCCGUGAAGUUGGAAUCGCUAGUAAUCG